AUUGAACGCUGGCGGAAUGCUUUACACAUGCAAGUCGAGCGGCAGCGCGGGGCAACCUGGCGGCGAGCGGCGAACGGGUGAGUAAUGUAUCGGAACGUAUCCUUAAGUGGGGGACAACUAGUCGAAAGACUAGCUAAUACCGCAUACGAUCGAGAGAUGAAAGUGGGGGACCGCAAGGCCUCACGCUUUUGGAGCGGCCGAUAUCCGAUUAGCUUGUUGGUGAGGUAAAGGCUUACCAAGGCUAUGAUCGGUAGCUGGUCUGAGAGGAUGAUCAGCCACACUGGGACUGAGACACGGCCCAGACUCCUACGGGAGGCAGCAGUGGGGAAUUUUGGACAAUGGGGGCAACCCUGAUCCAGCCAUUCCGCGUGAGUGAAGAAGGCCUCGG
Molecule: ribosomal RNA, 388 nt
Filed under: uncultured bacterium
Lineage: Bacteria
Description: bacterial SSU rRNA
Rfam family: Bacterial small subunit ribosomal RNA
Source: RNAcentral